CAACAAAGAACAACCACCAAACAGCUAGCUAAGCCACCACAAACAGCCACCCAAAAUUCCAAAUCAGUCAUUGACGAACACCGAAUCAAACCCCCCUUUUCGAUUUUUUUACUUUUAGUUUUUAUUGCAGGUGUUUCGGCGAGCUCAAAGCUUCAACCAUGGAUCUAAUGACGUUUCAAUGAGCUUUGUUCUUCAGAUCCAUGACGUUUGAGUAAGCUUUGUGCUUCCAAAUCUGAAACAACCAACAAAUAAGGCAAGUGGGCGUGUGAAUAUGCACAUACAAAUAUAUGAAUACACAAAUGAAAAGAAACCAAUUUUAACUA
RNAcentral lists this long non-coding RNA (323 nucleotides) under Solanum tuberosum (potato). Its description in RNAcentral is "long non-coding RNA (STUB_LNC001387)". The record is from RNAcentral. Lineage: Eukaryota; Viridiplantae; Streptophyta; Magnoliopsida; Solanales; Solanaceae.